RNAcentral lists this long non-coding RNA (645 nucleotides) under Zea mays. Its description in RNAcentral is "long non-coding RNA (ZMAY_LNC003232)". Lineage: Eukaryota; Viridiplantae; Streptophyta; Magnoliopsida; Poales; Poaceae. The record is from RNAcentral.
UUUUGGGGCGAUUGGGCCUUUCCCUGAGUUGGGUGUGCUUGAUGAACUGUUGGGCUCCGGGCAACCCUAAUUUGUUGGGCCUCGACCAACCCCACCUAGCUGGGUGUAUCAUCUGGUAUCAAAGCUAGGGCCUAUUUUAAGAAGGUGGGAAUGAUGAGGACAUCAUCCACUAUUACCCGUUGGCAAAGACGUAAUUGGCCCAGUUGGCCCAAUUGUAGUCGGACGGUGACCGUGUGAGCCUUAGAUUUAUCCCACCUCGCUUAACUUGGGAGGAGGAAGCCACUUUAAAAGGAAGAGCCACCCUUCCCCCAUUGGACUAGUCUUUUGGGACGAUUGGGCCUUUCCCUGAGUUGGGUGUGCUUAAUGAACUGUUGGGCUCCGGGCAACUCUAAUUUGUUGGGCCUCGACCAACCCCACCUGGGCUGGGUGUAUCAUCUGGUAUCAGAGCUAGGGCCCAUUUUAAGAAGGUGGGAAUGAUGAGGACAUCCUCCACUAUUACCCGUUAGCAAAGACACAAUUGGCCCAGUUGGCCCAAUUGUAGUCGGACGGUGACCGUGUGAGCCUCAGAAUUAUCCCACCUCGCUUCACUUGGGAGGAGGAAGCCACUUUAAAAGGGAGAGCCACCCUUCCCCCAUUGGACUAGUC